GAUGAACGCUGACAGAAUGCUUAACACAUGCAAGUCGAUGGGGAAGUGGUGCUUGCACCCUGGCAACCAUGGCGGACGGGUGAGUAACGCGUAAGGGACUUACCUGCAGGACUGGGAUAACAGGGGGAAACUCCUGACAAGACCGGAUAAUGUCAUGGAGCUGCAUGGCUUUAUGAUGAAAGGAGACGCCUGCGGAGAGCCUUGCGUCCUAUUAGCUAGUUGGUGAGGUAAUGGCUCACCAAGGCGAAGAUAGGUAGCCGGCCCGAGAGGGUGGACGGCCACAAGGGGACUGAGAUACGGCCCUUACUCCUACGGGAGGCAGCAGUGGGGAAUAUUGGACAAUGGGGGCAACCCUGAUCCAGCAAUUCUGUGUGCACGAAGAAGGUUUUCGGAUUGUAAAGUGCUUUCAGCAGGGAAGAAGUAAGUGACGGUACCUGCAGAAGAAGCGACGGCUAAAUACGUG
Molecule: ribosomal RNA, 463 nt
Filed under: uncultured bacterium
Lineage: Bacteria
Description: partial 16S ribosomal RNA
Rfam family: Bacterial small subunit ribosomal RNA
Source: RNAcentral